This 292-nucleotide ribosomal RNA is filed under the name uncultured bacterium. RNAcentral's name for it is "partial 16S ribosomal RNA". It matches the Rfam family "Bacterial small subunit ribosomal RNA", at positions 505 to 796 of the family's 1533-position model. The record is from RNAcentral.
GUGUCAGCCGCCGCGGUAAGACAGAGGGUGCAAACGUUGCUCGGAAUUACUGGGCGUAAAGCGCGUGUAGGCGGACCGAUAAGUGAGGCGUGAAAUCCCUGAGCUCAACUCAGGAACUGCACCUCAAACUGUCGGCCUUGAGUGGUGGAGAGGGAAGCGGAAUUCCUGGUGUAGAGGUGAAAUUCGUAGAUAUCAGGAGGAACACCGGUGGCGAAGGCGACUUCCUGGACACCAACUGACGCUGAGACGCGAAAGCGUGGGGAGCAAACAGGAUUAGAAACCCCUGUAGUCC